UAAAAGACCCGGGCACCAUAGAAUAAAUUACAUGAUUAAUUGUCAGUGUUUAUGUUUGAUCACUGUUUCCCAGGUUCAAUGAAAGCAGCAGUUGCUGGAUCAAUCACAGCUGUUUUUCUGGCUCUCCUGUUCCUUUCUGCCUUCCUGUUGAUUAGAAAAAAACAGUCCUCCAAACAACCAUCCAGGCCUGAAGAGAGACCAGACACCACAGCACAGCUAAAUGUAGGAUCCAGA
This is a long non-coding RNA of Monopterus albus (swamp eel), 234 nucleotides long. RefSeq lists it as uncharacterized. The transcript has 4 exons. NCBI's taxonomy places the organism in Eukaryota, Metazoa, Chordata, Actinopteri, Synbranchiformes, Synbranchidae. The record is from RefSeq and is a predicted model, not a curated record.